This 1730-nucleotide ribosomal RNA is filed under the name Ballistosporomyces xanthus. Its description in RNAcentral is "SSU rRNA". It matches the Rfam family "Eukaryotic small subunit ribosomal RNA". Lineage: Eukaryota; Fungi; Basidiomycota; Agaricostilbomycetes; Agaricostilbales; Chionosphaeraceae. The record is from RNAcentral.
CAAAGAUUAAGCCAUGCAUGUCUAAGUAUAAGCAAUCUAUACUGUGAAACUGCGAACGGCGCVSBBAAUCAGUUAUAGUUUAUUUGAUGGUACCUUACUACAUGGAUAACUGUGGUAAUUCUAGAGCUAAUACAUGCCCAAAAGCCCCGCAAGGGGGUGUAUCUGUUAGAUUAAAGACCGUGGCCCCUCGGGGCCUGUGGUGAAUCAUGACAACUGCUCGAAGCUCAUGGCCUCGCGCCGGAGCUGCUUCAUUCAAAUACCUGCCCUAUCAGCUUUCGAUGGUAAGGUAGUGGCUUACCAUGGCGGUUACGGGUAACGGGGAAUUAGGGUUCGAUUCCGGAGAGAGAGCCUGAGAAACGGCUCUCAUAACUAAGGUUAGCAGCAGGCGCGCAAAUUAUCCGCUUCCGAUACGGAGAGAUAGUGACAAUAAAUAACAAUAGAGGGCUCUUUUGGUCUUCUAAUUGGAAUGAGUACAAUCUAAAUCCCUUAACGAGGAUCAAUUGGAGGGCAAGUCUGGUGCCAGCAGCCGCGGUAAUUCCAGCUCCAAUAACGUAUAUUAAAUUUGUUGACGUUAAAAAGCUCGUAGUCGACUUUCGGCCCUAGCUGGCCGGUCCGCYYUUUUGAGUGUGUACUGGACCCAGCUGGGGCUUUACCYCCUGGUGAACUGGCAUGUYCUUUAUUGGGCGUGUCAGGGAACCCGGAAUUUUACUUUGAAUAAAUCAGAGUGUUCAAAGCAGGCAUGUUUGCCCGAAUGUUACAGCAUGGAAUAAUAGAAUAGGAUGUGUGCCUCUAUUGGUCUUUUAGAGGCACCUUAAUGAGAAAUAGGGGCGGCUCGGGGGCAUUUGUAUUCAAUUGCUAGAGGUGAAAUUCUUGGAUUUAUUGAAGACAAACUACUGCGAAAGCAUUUGCCAAGGACGCUUUCAUUGAUCAAGAACGAAGGUCGGGGGAUCGAAAACGAUUAGAUACCGUUGUAGUCUCGACAGUAAACUAUGCCGAUGGGCGAUUGGCGAGGGUUUUUUUAAUGACCUCGUCAGCAGCCAAAGAGAAAUCUUGAAUUAGGUUCGUGGGGGAGUACGGUCACAAGGCUGAAACUUAAAGGAAUUGACGGAAGGGCACCACCAGGAGUGGAGCCUGCGGCUUAAUUUGACUCAACACGGGGAAACUCACCAGGUCCAGACACAAAAAGGAUUGACAGAUUGAUAGCUCUUUCUUGAUCUUGUGGUUGGUGGUGCAUGGCCGUUCUUAGUUGGUGGAGUGAUUUGUCUGCUUAAUUGCGAUAACGAACGAGACCUUAACCUGCUAAAUAGCCCGGCCGGCUUUGGCUGGCCGCUGGCUUCUUAGAGGGACUUUCAGCUUUUAGCUGAAGGAAGUUUGAGGCAAUAACAGGUCUGUGAUGCCCUUAGAUGUUCUGGGCCGCACGCGCGCUACACUGACAGAGACAGCGAGUUUUUUUCCUUGGCCGGAAGGUCUGGGUAAUCUUGUGAAACUCUGUCGUGAUGGGGAUAGAGCAUUGCAAUUAUUGCUCUUCAACGAGGAAUUCCUUGUAAGCGCAAGUCAUCAGCUUGCGUUGACUACGUCCCUGCCCUUUGUACACACCGCCCGUCGCUACUACCGAUUGAGUGGCUUAGUGAGGUCUUCGGAUUGGCGCUUGGGAGCUGGCAACGGCACCCGAGUGCUGAAAAGUUGCACGAACUUGGUCAUUUAGAGGAAGUAAAAGUCGUAACAAGGUU